Molecule: ribosomal RNA, 501 nt
Filed under: uncultured bacterium
Lineage: Bacteria
Description: bacterial SSU rRNA
Rfam family: Bacterial small subunit ribosomal RNA
Source: RNAcentral
AUGAACGCUGGCGGCAUGCCUAAGACAUGCAAGUUGAACGGAGCGAACUUAUGAAGAUGGAGUGCUUUGCACAAAGUUGGAAUUUGACCUCGCUUAGUGGCGAAAGGGUGAGUAACACGUGGGAAUCUGCCUUUGAGACUGGGACAACAGUUGGAAACGACUGCUAAUACCGGAUGAUAUAUAAGAUGAUACGUUAUCUUAUAUUAAAAGAAGCCUUUAAAGCUUCACUUAAAGAUGAGCCUGCGACGUAUUAGCUAGUUGGUGGGGUAAAGGCCUACCAAGGCGACGAUGCGUAGCCGACCUGAGAGGUUGACCGGCCACAUUGGGACUGAGAUACGGCCCAGACUCCUACGGGAGGCAGCAGUGGGGAAUAUUGGGCAAUGGGCGCAAGCCUGACCCAGCAACGCCGCGUGAAGGAAGAAGGCUUUCGGGUUGUAAACUUCUUUUAAGAGGGAAGAGCAGAGGACUGUACCUCUAGAAUAAGCCACGGCUAACUACGUG